UCCCAGACUCCUACGGGAGGCAGCAGUGGGGGAUAUUGCACAAUGGGGGGAACCCUGAUGCAGCGACGCCGCGUGGGUGAAGAAGCGCCUCGGCGCGUAAAGCCCUGUCAGCAGGGAAGAAAAUGACGGUACCUGACUAAGAAGCCCCGGCUAACUACGUGCCAGCAGCCGCGGUAAUACGUAGGGGGCAAGCGUUAUCCGGAUUUACUGGGUGUAAAGGGAGCGUAGACGGCAGCGCAAGUCUGAAGUGAAAUCCCAUGGCUUAACCAUGGAACUGCUUUGGAAACUGUGCAGCUGGAGUGCAGGAGAGGUAAGCGGAAUUCCUAGUGUAGCGGUGAAAUGCGUAGAUAUUAGGAGGAACACCAGUGGCGAAGGCGGCUUACUGGACUGUAACUGACGUUGAGGCUCGAAAGCGUGGGGAGCAAACAGGAUUAGAUACCCCUGUA
This 446-nucleotide ribosomal RNA is filed under the name uncultured bacterium. RNAcentral's name for it is "bacterial SSU rRNA". It matches the Rfam family "Bacterial small subunit ribosomal RNA", at positions 329 to 792 of the family's 1533-position model. The record is from RNAcentral.